GUGGGGGAGGUUGUAGCUGGCCCCCUUCCGGGGUGAUGUGCACGCCUCGUCCCUUUGUCUUCCGUCCCUCUCACCCCUGUGCACCUCUGCGUGGGUUCCGGGCGUUCGUUCGCUCGAGAGCUCACGUCUUUCUCUCUACAAAAACCCCCCUACGCAUGUGUCGGAACGUAUGGCUCGCCGUAGAGGCGAAGCAAAGCUUAUAUAGUACAACUUUCAACAACGGAUCUCUUGGCUCUCGCAUCGAUGAAGAACGCAGCGAAAUGCGAUAAGUAAUGUGAAUUGCAGAAUUCAGUGAAUCAUCAAAUCUUUGAACGCACCUUGCGCCUCUUGGUAUUCCGAGGGGCACACCUGUUUGAGUAUCAUGAAAUUCUCAACCCGACUCCUUUUGUGAAAGGGGAGAAGGGCUUGGACUUGGAGGUCUUUGCCGUGGUCCCCUCUGUGGAUCUUGGCUCCUCUUGAAUGCAUUAGUGGAGCACGUCCACUCUCUCUACCAACUCGGUGUGAUAAUUCA
RNAcentral lists this ribosomal RNA (511 nucleotides) under Polypus dispansus. RNAcentral's name for it is "eukaryotic LSU rRNA". The stretch from base 209 to 362 matches the Rfam family "5.8S ribosomal RNA". The record is from RNAcentral. Lineage: Eukaryota; Fungi; Basidiomycota; Agaricomycetes; Russulales.